GUGGGCGUAGCUCAGCUGGUAGAGCUCUCGGUUGUGGUCCGGGCGGUCGCGGGUUCGAACCCCGUCGCUCACCCCA
This 76-nucleotide transfer RNA is filed under the name Nitrospina sp. RNAcentral describes it as "tRNA-His". It matches the Rfam family "tRNA". From Rfam's summary of the family: Transfer RNA (tRNA) molecules are approximately 80 nucleotides in length. Their secondary structure includes four short double-helical elements and three loops (D, anti-codon, and T loops). Further hydrogen bonds mediate the characteristic L-shaped molecular structure. tRNAs have two regions of fundamental functional importance: the anti-codon, which is responsible for specific mRNA codon recognition, and the 3' end, to which the tRNAs corresponding amino acid is attached (by aminoacyl-tRNA synthetases). tRNAs cope with the degeneracy of the genetic code in two manners: having more than one tRNA (with a specific anti-codon) for a particular amino acid; and 'wobble' base-pairing, i.e. permitting non-standard base-pairing at the 3rd anti-codon position. Lineage: Bacteria; Pseudomonadati; Nitrospinota; Nitrospinia; Nitrospinales; Nitrospinaceae. RNAcentral also lists the same sequence under 2 other names. The record is from RNAcentral.